AGGACAAACGCUGGCGGCGUACCUAAGACAUGCAAGUCGAACGGGGCUCACCGCUUCGGCGGGGAGUCGAGUGGCGGACGGGUGAGUAACGCGUAGGAACCUGUCGUGAAGUGGGGGAUAACGCUGGGAAACCGGCGCUAAUACCGCAUAGCAUCAGCGAUGAUGAAAGCCGGAUACCCACGCAAGUGGGUGGCGCUUUAUGAGGGGCCUGCGUCCGAUUAGCUAGUUGGUGGGUAAGGGCCUACCAAGGCAUCGAUCGGUAGC
RNAcentral lists this ribosomal RNA (264 nucleotides) under uncultured bacterium. Its description in RNAcentral is "partial small subunit ribosomal RNA". It matches the Rfam family "Bacterial small subunit ribosomal RNA", at positions 26 to 287 of the family's 1533-position model. The record is from RNAcentral.